AAGACUUCUAGACACGUCCGGACUUAGAAUGUAUGUAGAGCUGGGGCGGGUUGUGCACUUGUGGUGGCCUCUACUGCUUUGCAAAGCCAUUGCCGAGGGGUUUCACCCGACCACACACAAGGCUAGUCCGUUACCGCGGAAUAAACCUUCAAUGAUAGCGCCUACCCUAGGACCUCCCACUACUCCCACCACACGCGUCAAUCCUCUCUAAGUGAGAAUGAAA
Molecule: long non-coding RNA, 223 nt
Filed under: Vigna radiata
Lineage: Eukaryota; Viridiplantae; Streptophyta; Magnoliopsida; Fabales; Fabaceae
Description: long non-coding RNA (VRAD_LNC013846)
Source: RNAcentral